AUCGCAGGACACCAAUGACGAUAGUGCUGUCUGCGAUGCUAGUUUUCUCCAUACAGUCAAGGAGAAAACUAGCAUCGCAGACAGCACUAUCGUCAUUGGUGUUC
Molecule: microRNA precursor, 104 nt
Filed under: Pelobates cultripes (western spadefoot toad)
Lineage: Eukaryota; Metazoa; Chordata; Amphibia; Anura; Pelobatidae
Source: RNAcentral